Phasianus colchicus (ring-necked pheasant) is the source of this 1405-nucleotide non-coding RNA. NCBI's taxonomy places the organism in Eukaryota, Metazoa, Chordata, Aves, Galliformes, Phasianidae. The record is from RefSeq and is a predicted model, not a curated record.
AAAGAGGUCACGUGAGUCGUUUGAGGGCGUACAGGAAGUCUGUGGCACAGCACAGAAAUAGAAUCCAGACCUCUUGACUCCUAGACUUGUACUUCAACCACAACUCAUGCUUCUUCCCUUAAACAAUCAAGAAGUUGAAAGCCAAGCAGCAUCAAGUCAAACAUCUGAGCGAUGCUUGUCUUAGAUUUGUGAUGUAGCACAGACUGUGUUCCUUCAGGCUGGCUAGAAAUUGACACAGAAACAUCACUGCCUGAAGGGUCGUGAGAAAUGGAAGAAGACAGAGGGAAGAAGACUACUGAGACACUGAGACUUUCAAGCCCAUCUUCUCAGCCUUCUCCUUACCAUAAAAUGACAGCAGUAUUUUCUUCUUUUACCAUGGUGUUCUGCAAACGACUUCAGCUCACUAACUAGAAAUUAAAUGGGCAAACCUCUGAAAGCUUGGCAGUUUGAAUAAACAUCUGCAGGGAUCUGGCUGGACUUGGGGACAGGCUGUCCUCUGCAAAAGAAACCACAGAAAUUGCUCGAGACGCACCACUCUUCUAAGGGCUUGUGCUGAGUCUAAAGGAAAGAGUGUGAAGCAUGUAAUGUCUACACUCAGAAAAAAGAGAGGUGAGAGAGUGGCUGAAAGAAGUUUCUCAUGGGGAGAAUCUAUAUGGUGCAGAAAGCUAGAAGUGAUCAGAAAACAGGGAGCUGCAAUUUGAAAGUAGUAACAAUCUGCAGUCUAGGCAACAUCUAGGAGUUCAUUUAGAAGACCACUGGGGGCAGAAAGAAGCUGCACAAAUUCUGCUAGAAUAUUACAUCACAAAUAGCUGGAGUUAUCUGAUUUUCCCAAGGCUAUUCUUACCUGUUACUAAAGCUUCCUGAUGUGGGUUAUGUGAGAAUUUAAGGAAGCCUCUUGGGUUGGGAUGGGCAUUUUUUUUUUUUUCUUACUAAGCACUCCUACAAGAAGACAUAAAUUGCUCCACAGAAUGCCUCCCUAUCCAGGGAUAAGAGCUAUUUGGAAGGGACGCCUGGUGACCACAGUGGCCAUGGGGCCACCCGCCAGCCUGCUCUCCUGGGUGAUGCAGCUGACUGCAGCAGAACAACGUGAACGUGCUGUCAGAUGCCUUGCAUCUGUGUGCUCUCAUUCCUGCUCUAUUGUGCAACAAUUCCACUCCAGUCUCAGCUGAGGCUUCAAGUAGGAAUAGCCCAAAAUACCACAACAACAGCUGUUUUGUUGGAUUUUAUGGAGCUGAAACCCAGGAGUCCUGGAAAUCUUCAAAUAAAGCUUUUUCCGAUAAAAGAAACUUCCAGAUGCAUGAGCCUGAAUGUUUGUGAACAGCUCAUGUCUGUGUAGUAAGCUUGCAUUUUUUUAUGUCUUCCCCUUGUCAUUUCAUUUAUAAUAAAUGUGUAAUAACUUGUUAAA